AGAAGCCGCGGAUUGAAUAGCAGCAACGUGGGGAAUAUAGGUCAACUGCGGCGGUGUAGAUGGCAAGGCUGCUGACGAACGGAGUUGAGUGCUUAGAUGAGCGAUCAUUUCCUGGAUUUGAGGGGUGGUGUAAGUGGCAGCGGCGGCGGCUGGCAGAGAAUACCCGGAAUCAAAACCGGGUUGAGCAAUCGGAGAAGACGAUGAACUUUUGGCCACAUGCCCUACCCGUCUCGCCUGAGCCAUAUUAUUUUGGAAUGAACUUUUAUUCUUGAUUGGGUAACCGGGCGGGUACCUGUAGAGUUUAUAACACCGAUCCAUGGUGUGACCCGUCAACCCACAAUAGCUGCAAACAGGUUGGUUCCUAGGUCGUCCCUGACCUCCAGAAGCUCCCCCAAACUUAGCUCCAGCGCCGCCAGCGAAAACCAUUGCCUCGCCGCGAUUUGUACUACCAUUGAUUCCGAUGCCUCGUUGUCGCUCUUCCUGAGUGACCAAAUUGAAUACCUUUAGGACUGGAGGAAAAGGAUCCAUCAUUAGGAUCUGUGCGCGCAAACUAGAAUAGCUGUCAUUCAGCCCCAUAAGGAACUGCAUUCCUUGUUCUUUCUGUUGGCAUUUCGUCCAAACGCGCAUUCCACCACAUGAACAAGCUGGGACAGGUAAGUAAUUGGUUAAUUCGUCCUACAAUGCUUUAAGCUUUGUGUAGUAAGUGUUAACAUCGAGACUGACUUGUGAGAAAUUCUGGAGAAAAUGUUUAAUAUGAUAGAUGCGUGGUUCAUUGCUUUGUCUGAAGCGGUCCCGAAGAUCAUUCUAGAUAGCUCUUGCAUUAUCGUGAAACAAGAGGCUGUCGGCGAUAUCUUUUGAUACAGCAUUUAGAAUCCAUGAAGCGAUCAUACUAUUGCAGCGCUUGCAAACUCCAGCCAAUGGAUCUGUUGCAUCCGGUUGAGGAAUUGACCCAUCAAUAAAUCCAAACUUAUGUUUUGCCGUGAAAGCCAUAACCAUGGCUCGGCUCCAAGUUGUGUAAUUUGGACCCGUGAGUAUAUGAGAGACAAGUAUAGCACCUGGAUGAUCGCUGCUGUGAAGAAAAUAGGGACUAUGAGGAUUAGUAUCACUCAUAACUGAUGUCGCAGCAGCAACUCGCUCAACAACAGGUGAUAUAAGCGGUGGAAAUUGUUAUGAGGAUGGUGGCAGACACUGCUGUGGAGAGGAUUGUCCUCCACGAGCCAUGCUUGAACUGGUGUGUAAUCGGUAGAAAAAUAAAGAUGAACAGAGUGUCGAGAUGAAGGAGGAAAUACAAAAGAGAAAUUCUGAUUUCUAAACCACGAGGAUGAACAGCGGAAGCUUUAUUACAGAUGCUUUUUGAAUUUGAAGAAAAAUUUUGGCAAAAGCUCUGAUACCACAUCAGAAGCAAGAUAGCCGAGAAGAAAAAAAAGAAAAAAACAAAAAAAUUGUUGUAUUCAUGUAUAUGUAUAAUGGAUUACAUGCUCAAUUUAUUUAUAGCAGAGUUGUUAAUUAGUUGCUAACAAAUUACAAACUAACUUCAACAAAUUGUAACUGAUUACAAACUAAUUAAUAACUAAUUCUAUUAUAACAAUUGAUUAAUUUUAAUUACUUAUUAUUUCUGUAUUAUAUAUGUAUGUAUAUUGUAGGAAGUGCUGCUAAUAUGGGGAGAUGAAGACAAGAUAUUCCCCUUGAGAAUGGCUGUUGAACUGAAGGA
RNAcentral lists this long non-coding RNA (1711 nucleotides) under Carica papaya (papaya). RNAcentral's name for it is "long non-coding RNA (CPAP_LNC006022)". Lineage: Eukaryota; Viridiplantae; Streptophyta; Magnoliopsida; Brassicales; Caricaceae. The record is from RNAcentral.